UACGUAGGGUGCAAGCGUUGUCCGGAAUUAUUGGGCGUAAAGAGCUCGUAGGCGGUUUGUCGCGUCUGCUGUGAAAACUCGGGGCUUAACUCCGGGCCUGCAGUGGGUACGGGCAGACUAGAGUGCGGUAGGGGAGACUGGAAUUCCUGGUGUAGCGGUGAAAUGCGCAGAUAUCAGGAGGAACACCGGUGGCGAAGGCGGGUCUCUGGGCCGUAGCUGACGCUGAGGAGCGAAAGCGUGGGGAGCGAACAGG
Molecule: ribosomal RNA, 253 nt
Filed under: uncultured bacterium
Lineage: Bacteria
Description: partial 16S ribosomal RNA
Rfam family: Bacterial small subunit ribosomal RNA
Source: RNAcentral